This 754-nucleotide ribosomal RNA is filed under the name uncultured archaeon. Its description in RNAcentral is "bacterial SSU rRNA". It matches the Rfam family "Archaeal small subunit ribosomal RNA", at positions 102 to 859 of the family's 1478-position model. The record is from RNAcentral.
AGUCAACAUGCCCAGGGGACGUGGAUAACCUCGGGAAACUGAGGAUAAACCGCGAUAAGUCACUGCUUCUGGAAUGGGCAAUGACUUAAAUCUAUAUGGCCCCUGGAUUGGACUGCGGCCGAUCAGGCUGUUGGUGAGGUAAUGGCCCACCAAACCUGUAACCGGUACGGGCUCUGAGAGGAGGAGCCCGGAGAUGGGCACUGAGACAAGGGCCCAGGCCCUAUGGGGCGCAGCAGGCGCGAAACCUCUGCAAUAGGCGAAAGCCUGACAGGGUUACUCUGAGUGAUUUCCGUUAAGGAGAUCUUUUGGCACCUCUAAAAAUGGUGCAGAAUAAGGGGUGGGCAAGUCUGGUGUCAGCCGCCGCGGUAAUACCAGCACCCCGAGUGGUCGGGACGUUUAUUGGGCCUAAAGCAUCCGUAGCCGGUUCUGCAAGUCUUCCGUUAAAUCCACCUGCUUAACAGAUGGGCUGCGGAAGAUACUAUAGAGCUAGGAGGCGGGAGAGGCAAGCGGUACUCGAUGGGUAGGGGUAAAAUCCGUUGAUCCAUUGAAGACCACCAGUGGCGAAGGCAGCUUGCCAGAACGCGCUCGACGGUGAGGGAUGAAAGCUGGGGGAGCAAACCGGAUUAGAUACCCGGGUAGUCCCAGCUGUAAACGAUGCAGACUCGGUGAUGAAUUGGCUUUAUGCCAAUUCAGUGCCGCAGGGAAGCCGUUAAGUUUGCCGCCUGGGGAGUACGGUCGCAAGACUGAAACUUAA